UCGAGGAUCUUCGGCAAUGGGCGCAAGCCUGACCGAGCGAUGCCGCGUGUGCGAUGAAGGCCUUCGGGUUGUAAAGCACUGUCGAGGGGGAGAAAGUCCCGCAAGGGAUUGAUCGACCCCUGGAGGAAGCACGGGCUAAGUUCGUGCCAGCAGCCGCGGUAAGACGAACCGUGCAAACGUUGUUCGGAUUCACUGGGCUUAAAGGGCGCGUAGGCGGGCCAGCAAGUCAGGGGUGAAAUCUUUCAGCUCAACUGGAAAAGUGCCUUUGAUACUGCUGGCCUCGAGGGAGGUAGGGGCGUGCGGAACUUCCGGUGGAGCGGUGAAAUGCGUAGAUAUCGGAAGGAACGCCGGUGGCGAAAGCGGCGUGCUGGACCUCAUCUGACGCUGAGGCGCGAAAGCCAGGGGAGCAAACGGGAUUAGAUACCCCCGUAGUCC
Molecule: ribosomal RNA, 435 nt
Filed under: uncultured bacterium
Lineage: Bacteria
Description: bacterial SSU rRNA
Rfam family: Bacterial small subunit ribosomal RNA
Source: RNAcentral